UACGUAGGGCGCAAGCGUUGUCCGGAAUUAUUGGGCGUAAAGGGCGCGUAGGCGGCCCGGUAAGUAGGGGGUGAAAUCCUGCGGCUUAACCGCAGGGCUGCCUUCUAAACUGUCGGGCUCGAGCACGGUAGAGGCAGAUGGAAUUCCCGGUGUAGCGGUGGAAUGCGCAGAUAUCAGGAGGAACACCAAUGGCGAAGGCAGCUCGCUGGGACGUUACUGACACUGAGGCGCGAAAGCGUGGGGAGCGAACGGG
RNAcentral lists this ribosomal RNA (253 nucleotides) under uncultured bacterium. Its description in RNAcentral is "partial 16S ribosomal RNA". It matches the Rfam family "Bacterial small subunit ribosomal RNA", at positions 524 to 776 of the family's 1533-position model. The record is from RNAcentral.